UUUCCAUCCAGAUAAGAAUGGAUAAAUUAUUAUUAGAAUACUUACAGGAUAAAAGAUAAUGAAAAAACAAAUAAUCAGGUAUAAGAGUAAAGAAUCUGACACAUUUGCUGUAAGCGAGAAAAAUAUUCAUGCAGACGAUAAGCAGUACAUACACACACUGUAAAAAUCACCAGACGGCAGGUUGGUUCAGCUUUGGCUGCAUGCAGCUGUAAUUCAGCUAUCGAGAGUUUGGCGUAUAUAGGUUAAUGUUAGAAAUUGCAGUGUGGUCAACUACAGUUUGACGUCAUUCAAGUUUGAAGCGCAAGGACCCCGAUCUUUGCGAAAGCUCGCGCAAGUUUUCUGCGACAGAAGUGCGUGAGAAAUAGAUCGAGGCUGUUUCAAGGAAAGGCAAGACAAGAGAAGGCCAAAGAAAGUGGUGACCGAGGGCAAGAACAGGUGAAAUGAAGGACUUUUCCUCCUCCUAUGCUCCAGUUUUCUCGGCAGUAGUUGGCGUCUUCUCGAUGUCGUACGUGUCGCCAGUACAGCAAGACAAGAGAAGGCUAGAAUGAGUGGUGACCGAGCGCCAGAACAGGUGAAAUGAAGGACUGUUCCUCCUCCUAUGCUCCAGUUUGCUCGGCAAUACUUGGCGUCUUCUCCAGGUCGUACGUGUUGCCAGUACGCCUGAAUGCUGGGUUUCAUCAUGGACCUCCACGGACUGCAGCUGUCGCCUCGCAACGUGGACGUCCGUAAUGAGAGUGGAGGACGACGCUCUCUGACAAAUAGUGCUGCGCGCCAAAUCGAGUAAAAAUCCGGAAAGAAGAGCAGAAGCCACGGCCCUCACAAUCGCAGGUCGGUCGCAGCAUGACAUCGUGAGAGAGGAACCAAGGUCCAGCGCCCAAGCAAGCCGCACGGCCUUGUACCAUAGGUUUUCUCCAUAAUCGGGUGUCUUCAGGAUUGAGUUAUAA
Molecule: long non-coding RNA, 944 nt
Organism: Dermacentor albipictus
Lineage: Eukaryota; Metazoa; Arthropoda; Arachnida; Ixodida; Ixodidae
Source: RefSeq, a predicted model, not a curated record